CCGCUGUGUAUAUUUGGCUUCCUGUUGCUGUAGAAAACCGAAAGCGUCUGCAAAAUCCAAAAAAUACAGAAUCGGGCGAGAAAAAAUCUGACCUUGAAGUUCAGAUUAAAGAUUAACAAAACAACGACAAAGUUCAGUGACAAGAAAAAAACACCAUAAUGAAGUCAAAGGCAUCUGUUCCUACUGCACCAAAAGGGCGGACUGGACUUUUAUUUUUGGGUGUUAUCUUUGUAGCUGGUGGCUUAAAACUUUAUAUGGACUUUUUCUCUGAUAUGAGAAUGGUAAACCUUGAGAAUGAAGCAAAGAAAUUGAUGGUUCAAAACAAGGGGUCAGAGGACGAGCAAUCGUAACAGCCUGUUCCUUGAAGAAAAAGACAGUUUCCAACUGGUGAAGAAUGGACGUGUUCUUCGUUAGACUUUCCUCCUGUAUUUCUAAAAAGAUGUGUUCAACUGAAGAUCUUACUUCAUUGAUGGUCUUUUAAAAGCUGCCAUCAAAAUAACCUAAAUAUAUUUUGUGUACAUGUUUGGUAUUCUACUUCUAGUUGAUGCAUGUUAAAAUCUGAAGUGUUGCAAAAUCCAGAACAUACUAUCAUGCCUGUUUUUUUCUACAUUUUUAUUUGUCAUAAAUGAACACAAUGAACAAUGUUUUAUGCUCUACAAGAAUCAGAAUGAUAUAAACUCAAGGUCAGAUAAUAGUUCAGUUUAAUAUUAUCAGAUAAAUUACAUCAUGUGUGAUAAUAAGCUUGUAUUGUUGAAUACAUAUGGCAAUGGUCGAAAUAGGCACAAGUGCUGUAGUGGUAAAAUACUUUCAGGCUUGCUCAAACUCUAUAUUUUUUACGAUUUAUUUAUAUAUAUAGCAUGGUUAAAAACCAUACCCUGUACUGGCCUGUAGGUAUUCAGGGGUUCUAUAGUUCAUGAUUAAUCCAGAAAUCAGAUUUGAGAACCUGCAGACUACUGUACAAUAAUCAGCUGUAAGAGCCCCUGAAGUAUUUACGCUUGUUAACUUAAGUCUUAUGUCAAUGACUGGUGUAGGCAAUAAUUUGAUGCAUGUCAAUUGUUAUUAAUUAUAUGAAUUGAAAUAAAGAAAUCAAUCAUGUUUUGAAUAAAAAGUACCUUAAAGUA
Molecule: long non-coding RNA, 1121 nt
Organism: Mya arenaria
Lineage: Eukaryota; Metazoa; Mollusca; Bivalvia; Myida; Myidae
Exons: 2
Source: RefSeq, a predicted model, not a curated record